CUACCCGGGUUUCUAAUCCCGUUCGCUCCCCUAGCUUUCGUGCCUCAGCGUCAGAAAAGACCCAGUAAGCCGCUUUCGCUCCUGGUGUUCCUUAGGAUAUCAACGCAUUUCACCGCUCCACCCUAAGUUCCGCUUACCUCUAUCUUCCUCGAGCCCGGUAGUUUUGGGCGCAAUUCCUCGGUUGAGCCGAGGGCUUUCACACCCAACUUUCCGGGCCGCCUACGCACCCUUUAAGCCCAGUGAUUCCGAAUAACGUUUGGACGGUUCGUCUUACCGCGGCUGCUGGCAC
This 289-nucleotide ribosomal RNA is filed under the name uncultured Planctomycetaceae bacterium. RNAcentral describes it as "partial 16S ribosomal RNA". The record is from RNAcentral. Lineage: Bacteria; Pseudomonadati; Planctomycetota; Planctomycetia; Planctomycetales; Planctomycetaceae.